RNAcentral lists this long non-coding RNA (1369 nucleotides) under Setaria italica (foxtail millet). Its description in RNAcentral is "long non-coding RNA (SITA_LNC007502)". Lineage: Eukaryota; Viridiplantae; Streptophyta; Magnoliopsida; Poales; Poaceae. The record is from RNAcentral.
GAGACGGAAGCGAUCUUCAGAUGCAAACGCAGCUAACAGGAGGAGAAUGGAGAAACUGUCAUGCAUAGCCAGAUGUCUGCCUGCGUGAAGCACCGUGCAUAGCUCGAACGUAGGGUGUAGAGUAAUACUCUGCAGCCCUGUUUAGUGUAGAGUAACCUGCUGCACGCCACGGGAUACGCUUGGAUACUGUCUGUACCCCAAGCGCUGACCCCGGGCUGCUCCCUCGGCCGCAACACGACAGCAACAGCGCAGACAGUAAGGAGCGCCGCGCUCAGGUCACCUCAGCCCUCCUCCCCCGCCUUCACUCCUCCGCCUGCUCCCACCAGCCAGCCAUACGCGUGGGAACCGCCUCGUCCCCAGGAGCUCUGCCCACCCCCUUAGGGAAGAACUUGCUUUCCUCAAAAAAUGUAAUGUCUCGCGAAGUUACCUGAGAGCGCUCGAAAUAGAGAGUAGGAACGCAUGGAACCUUCCCCCGGUGGAUGUCUCCGACCUCACCCCAACCUCAGCAUCCUCCUCCUCCUCCCCCUCAACCUCGCCAGCCUCCUUACCCUCCCCUCCCUCCUCGCCUGAAGAUACAGCAUGAACCUCGGUCCCCACUAUACUUUUCGAGACUUGGCCAUGUUCACCUUCGCCUUUGUCCCCGUCAGAGGACAAAUCAAGCGAACUGCUCCUGGAAGAUCCCUCUUCUGCAAAAACCAGGCCAUCCUUCGUAUAGAUUCGUUUCUUUGACCUCUUCCCUUCAGACUCUCUGCUGCUCACAGACACUCUGAUUGCGAAGCAGGACUACCCCCACCACCAGAGGCAGCCUGAAGGGCCAACUCCUUCGAAGACAUUGUCUACAACUCUGCCUGGUGCUAGCUGCCACGAAAACGAAGUCGACACCCCACCAAGAAAACGAAGCCAAUAGAGCACAACGAAGCUGAGCAGCGAAGGCACAAGUGGCGAAAAAUGCAACUCGAAAGCGACAGCAUAAAAUAUGGCCCGCCCCCCCCGGUAAACCUUAUAUAGGCACGGUAAAAACCGCCUCGAACCACUAACCGCCACGUAGAAAAUGACCUUACUACCCCAUAUAACGGUAGAACGCCUCGGCCCGCGCCGCCGUUCAGGGUGACGUUUUGACGGCAUUUUUGGACUUUUCGCGGGAUCGGUCGACGGCGCCUCUGACCUCACCCACGAAGGGGCUACUGUUGGGGACCGUCCCACAACGCACCCUGAACGAGGCUGGUGGGAAUCCUUCCUCUUAACCGGCUCUAACCUCGUCACUCUCCCUCUUUACGAAGCUAACAAUUAACCGAAGUCAACUAGUGCGAAGAUAUCUAUUCUGUGAUUUUGCAGGCAAGGAAUCGCGAAGUAAAAGCCCUCACAAAGC